CAGGGUGUAGCUCAGCGAGCAGAGCACCUCGUUUGGGGCGAGGGGGCCGCCGGGGCGGAACCGGCCACCCUGACCA
RNAcentral lists this transfer RNA (76 nucleotides) under Oscillochloris sp. RNAcentral describes it as "tRNA-Pro". Lineage: Bacteria; Bacillati; Chloroflexota; Chloroflexia; Chloroflexales; Oscillochloridaceae. The record is from RNAcentral.